AAACUUUCAACAACGGAUCUCUUGGCUCUGGCAUCGAUGAAGAACGCAGCGAAA
Molecule: ribosomal RNA, 54 nt
Filed under: Sawadaea polyfida
Lineage: Eukaryota; Fungi; Ascomycota; Leotiomycetes; Helotiales; Erysiphaceae
Description: 5.8S ribosomal RNA
Rfam family: 5.8S ribosomal RNA
About the family: 5.8S ribosomal RNA (5.8S rRNA) is a component of the large subunit of the eukaryotic ribosome.
Source: RNAcentral